CCUACGGGAGACUGCAGUGGGGAAUAUUGCACAAUGGGGGAAACCCUGAUGCAGCGACGCCGCGUGAGUGAAGAAGUCAUUCGUUAUGUAAAGCUCUAUCAGCAGGGAAGAAAAUGACGGUACCUGAGUAAGAAGCCCCGGCUAACUACGUGCCAGCAGCCGCGGUACUACGUAGGGGGCAAGCGUUAUCCGGAUUUACUGGGUGUAAAGGGAGCGUAGACGGCAGUGCAAGUCUGGAGUGAAAGGCGGGGGCUCAACCCGCGGACUGCUCUGGAAACUGUACGGCUGGAGUGCAGGAGAGGUAAGUGGAAUUCCUAGUGUAGCGGUGAAAUGCUUAGAUAUUAGGAGGAACACCAGUGGCGAAGACGGCUUACUGGACUGUAACUGACGUUGAGGCUCGAAAGCGUGGGGAGCAAACAGGAUUAGAUACCCUUGUAGUC
This 440-nucleotide ribosomal RNA is filed under the name uncultured bacterium. RNAcentral describes it as "partial 16S ribosomal RNA". It matches the Rfam family "Bacterial small subunit ribosomal RNA", at positions 338 to 795 of the family's 1533-position model. The record is from RNAcentral.